RNAcentral lists this ribosomal RNA (497 nucleotides) under uncultured bacterium. Its description in RNAcentral is "partial 16S ribosomal RNA". It matches the Rfam family "Bacterial small subunit ribosomal RNA", at positions 28 to 507 of the family's 1533-position model. The record is from RNAcentral.
GAUGAACGCUGGCGGCGUGCCUAAUACAUGCAAGUCGAGCGAACAGACGAGGAUCUUGCUCCUCUGACGUUAGCGACGGACGGGUGAGUAACACGUGGAUAACCUACCUAUAAGACUGGGAUAACGUCGGGAAACCGGAGCUAAUACCGGAUAAUAUAUUGAACCGCAUGGUUCAAUAGUGAAAGACGGUUUUGCUGUCACUUUUACAGGGAUCCGCGCCGCAUUAGCUAAGUGGUAAGGUAACGGCUUACCAAGGCAACGAUGCGUAGCCGACCUGAGAGGAUGAUCGGCCACACUGGAACUGAGACACGGCCCAGACUCCUACGGGAGGCAGCAGUGGGGAAUUUUGCGCAAUGGGCGAAAGCCUGACGCAGCAACGCCGCGUGAGUGAAGAAGGUCUUCGGAUUGUAAACCUCUUUUAUUAGGGAAGAACAACUGUGUAAUAAACCAUGGAGGGCUUGACGGUACCGAAUCAGAAAGCACCGGCUAACUACGUG